RNAcentral lists this non-coding RNA (74 nucleotides) under uncultured Sulfurovum sp. Its description in RNAcentral is "Cyclic di-GMP-I riboswitch". It matches the Rfam family "c-di-GMP-I riboswitch aptamer". From Rfam's summary of the family: GEMM was predicted in a large-scale screen for bacterial structured RNA regulatory elements. Lineage: Bacteria; Pseudomonadati; Campylobacterota; Epsilonproteobacteria; Campylobacterales; Sulfurovaceae. The record is from RNAcentral.
UGAAAAAGCCAAACUUGUUGUGAAGCAAGGACGGAAAGCUAUGGGUCUUUGAAAAAAAGAUUGCCAGGUUGCCA